UUUCCGUAGGUGAACCUGCGGAAGGAUCAUUAAUGAAGUCUGGGCUUCGGCCCUCUCUCUUCUACACACUUGUGAACUUACACCGUUGCUUUGGCAGGUUUCCGGAGGGGCGUGAGCCCUGAAGGUCAGGUCGGAAGACGCCUGCCGAAGACACUUAUCCACCCUUUUUUAUUGUCUGAAUCUUGUUUAUAACAAAUAAAAUAAAACUUUCAACAAUGGAUCUCUUGGCUCUGGCAUCGAUGAAGAACGCAGC
RNAcentral lists this unclassified non-coding RNA (253 nucleotides) under uncultured fungus. RNAcentral's name for it is "sequence contains ITS1, 5.8S rRNA gene". The stretch from base 205 to 253 matches the Rfam family "5.8S ribosomal RNA", at positions 1 to 49 of the family's 154-position model. The record is from RNAcentral. Lineage: Eukaryota; Fungi.